UACGUAGGGCGCAAGCGUUAUCCGGAAUUAUUGGGCGUAAAGGGCUCGUAGGCGGUUUGUCACGUCGGGAGUGAAAACUCAGGGCUCAACCCUGAGCGUGCUUCCGAUACGGGCAGACUAGAGGUAUGCAGGGGAGAACGGAAUUCCUGGUGUAGCGGUGGAAUGCGCAGAUAUCAGGAGGAACACCGGUGGCGAAGGCGGUUCUCUGGGCAUUACCUGACGCUGAGGAGCGAAAGCAUGGGGAGCGAACAGG
RNAcentral lists this ribosomal RNA (253 nucleotides) under uncultured bacterium. RNAcentral describes it as "partial 16S ribosomal RNA". It matches the Rfam family "Bacterial small subunit ribosomal RNA", at positions 524 to 776 of the family's 1533-position model. The record is from RNAcentral.